Molecule: long non-coding RNA, 1085 nt
Filed under: Brassica rapa (field mustard)
Lineage: Eukaryota; Viridiplantae; Streptophyta; Magnoliopsida; Brassicales; Brassicaceae
Description: long non-coding RNA (BRAP_LNC002193)
Source: RNAcentral
UUGUCCAGUAGUCAUUUGUUUUUCCUUCUGUCGGCAAACGAUUCUGUAAUCUUAUAAAGUAAUAAAUUUUCAACAGUUUGAUUCUAUAGUAGAGAUUAUGCAACAUUGAUCUAAGAGACAAAACAAUCUUUGGGAACUAAAUCUUGCAACAUUUUUACUAAGUUAUUAGCUUUUCUUUUGAUGAGCAUGAACUUGUAACAAAGUUUAGGUUCAGCUAGGAGCCUAGGAGGGAGAUAUUUUCAAUAUAUAUAUUGCAUGCAAUAGCUUGAUGGUGUCUCCAUUCUUGAAGCUUAUGAGGGUGAGUGUUGCUGACUAGAGCUGGCAUUUUGAACUCUUUGAAUCUCCACAAAAGUUCUUCUAUCCAUACAAGUCUUAUUAAUCUGCAUUACAGCUUUGUAAGAGCGUAUAUAUGCAUGCUUCCAUCUCUAAGGAUCUUUAAGUGGGCUCUAUAGAGGUUUAUCCCUUGAGAAUAACCAACAUUUAACCACUUGUGGUUUAUAUGACACCGAUGAUCUAUCUACAAACACAACAAGAUGUGUUUGCUUUGACUAUAGCUUCCCGGACUGUUUUUGGGAACCAUAUAUUCUCUCUUCCUCAUUUUACAAUGAGUAAGUAUGAAUGUGAUCUUCUCUGGAUCUGUAGAAGGAAACAGUUUCAGACCACAUGCAUAGUUCCAUCCGUGCUUUACUGCUAAUGUUAGUUUGGGAUGGACCAUCUCUAUCAUUUCUCAAAUUCAUUUUCCAAGUCCUCCAUAUCAAACGAAAGGGAACAACGUAAUAGGAAAGACUGAUGGCUAUAUCAAAGUACAAAUUCUCAAUACUGCCAGCUAGUGACUUAUUUUUAAGUUGCUUACUUGGAGGAUGUUGAGCCGGAGAGAGCUCCCAGCCUCCCAAAUCUCUCUAGAGAGAGCAUUUGGUUACUGUUUUCUCAUUAUUUGUGUUUAUUUUUAGCAAAUGUAUUUGCACUUAAGUAAAACUAAAUAGAGACAUUCAAGGAUUGUGUUAAAAAAAAAAGAGACAUUUAAGGAGAGAAAAUAUAAAUACAUUUUUUGACAUAUACCAUAGUCCUUAACAUAUACCUUACCG